AUUGAACGCUGGCGGCAUGCCUUACACAUGCAAGUCGAACGGUAACAGGUCUUCGGAUGCUGACGAGUGGCGAACGGGUGAGUAAUACAUCGGAACGUGCCUAGUAGUGGGGGAUAACUACUCGAAAGAGUGGCUAAUACCGCAUGAGAUCUACGGAUGAAAGCAGGGGAUCGCAAGACCUUGUGCUACUAGAGCGGCCGAUGGCAGAUUAGGUAGUUGGUGGGAUAAAAGCUUACCAAGCCGACGAUUGGUAGAUGGUCUGAGAGGACGAUCAGCCAAACGGGGACUGGGACACGGCCCAGACUCAUACGGGAGGCAGCAGUGGGGAAUGUUGGACAAUUGGCGAAAGCCUGAUCCAGCAAUGCCGCGUGCAGGAUGAAGGCCUUCGGGUUGUAAACUUCUUUUGUACGGAACGAAAAGCCCCGGGUUAAUACCCUGGGGUCAUGACGGUACCGUAAGAAUAAGCACCGGCUAACUACGUGCCAGCCGCCGCGGUAA
Molecule: ribosomal RNA, 498 nt
Filed under: uncultured bacterium
Lineage: Bacteria
Description: partial 16S ribosomal RNA
Rfam family: Bacterial small subunit ribosomal RNA
Source: RNAcentral